Molecule: non-coding RNA, 791 nt
Organism: Coturnix japonica (Japanese quail)
Lineage: Eukaryota; Metazoa; Chordata; Aves; Galliformes; Phasianidae
Source: RefSeq, a predicted model, not a curated record
UGCAAGUGAUGAACUUUCCUUGUGAAGGAAACAUGAAAAAUGUACAAAACCCAAUUUAAGUGUAUAUUGAAGUACACAUCUCAAAAUCUGUCACAUUUUUGAGGGCCUGAGGACUGUGUCACUUUGGAAUCAGAAUACAGAGUGAGCAAUAACAAUUCAUUCCGCUUUCACUUUGAGACAAAUGACAAGGAAAGGAGAGCAUACAAUCAAGAGCAGGAAAGCUGAACUGAAAACCUGUGGGGAUGUGGAAAAUUCCAAAAGACACUUUUACCAUGUAGAUUGAUUCUUCUAAUUAAUCUUAAUUUUCCUUUGUAAAAUAUAAAAGGGGAUCUACCCUUCCCUUCAUAGGAAACAGCUGUUCCUUACAUUAGUCCAAAGAAAAACAUAAUUUAAGUACUGUUCAUUUUUUGACACCCCCACCUCUGCCAGUAAGUAAUUUAUUGUUUGUUUGUUUUCCAUAAAGCUGAAUGAAUUAAGGUAGUUCAGUGUUUGUGAUAAAAAUAAAAGGAUGCACACACACACAUGCAGAGUCUCCACAGAUAGCUUACAGACCAUGUUAGGAAACAACAGUUUAAGUGAAAAACAUCCUGCGUACCAACAUUCAAUACUUGAAGACAGUGAAUCACUUUAUAGGGCAAAUUUUACUUAGCCUCAUAGCCCUCAGUCAUCUUCACUACCUUAGGCUACUGAAACAAAAGUCACUGCUACGGUAUUAUCUGAACUUAAGAAAAUUAGAAUUGCACACGUUUUUACCUCCAGUGUAAAUGAAUAAAAUCUUGGACUGUGAUCUA